RNAcentral lists this transfer RNA (73 nucleotides) under Candidatus Woesearchaeota archaeon. Its description in RNAcentral is "tRNA-Thr". It matches the Rfam family "tRNA". From Rfam's summary of the family: Transfer RNA (tRNA) molecules are approximately 80 nucleotides in length. Their secondary structure includes four short double-helical elements and three loops (D, anti-codon, and T loops). Further hydrogen bonds mediate the characteristic L-shaped molecular structure. tRNAs have two regions of fundamental functional importance: the anti-codon, which is responsible for specific mRNA codon recognition, and the 3' end, to which the tRNAs corresponding amino acid is attached (by aminoacyl-tRNA synthetases). tRNAs cope with the degeneracy of the genetic code in two manners: having more than one tRNA (with a specific anti-codon) for a particular amino acid; and 'wobble' base-pairing, i.e. permitting non-standard base-pairing at the 3rd anti-codon position. The record is from RNAcentral. Lineage: Archaea; Nanobdellati; Candidatus Woesearchaeota.
GCCUCCGUAGCAUAGUGGCUAAUGCGUCGGUUUUGUAAACCGAAGAUCAUGGGUUCAACUCCCAUCGGAGGCU